Molecule: ribosomal RNA, 269 nt
Filed under: uncultured bacterium
Lineage: Bacteria
Description: partial 16S ribosomal RNA
Rfam family: Bacterial small subunit ribosomal RNA
Source: RNAcentral
UAAGGAAUAUUGCUCAAUGGGAGAAAUCCUGAAGCAGCAACGCCGCGUGGAGGGUGAAGGGUCUAUGACUUGUAAACUCCUGUAAAGAAGGAAAAAAUUCCCAUUAGAUGGGAGAUGGUGGUACUUCUGGAGUAAGCGCCGGCUAACUACGUGCCAGCAGCCGCGGUAAUACGUAGGGGGCAAGCGUUGUCCGGAUUUACUGGGUGUAAAGGGUGCUCAGGCGGAUUUGUAAGUCAGAGGUGAAAUCUUACAGCUUAACUGUGAAACUG